UACAGAGGUCUCAAGCGUUGUUCGGAUUCAUUGGGCGUAAAGGGUGCGUAGGUGGCGGGGUAAGUCAGGUGUGAAAUCUCGAGGCUCAACCUCGAAACUGCACUUGAUACUGCCUUGCUCGAGUACUGGAGAGGAGAUUGGAAUUUACGGUGUAGCAGUGAAAUGCGUAGAUAUCGUAAGGAAGACCAGUGGCGAAGGCGAAUCUCUGGACAGUUACUGACACUGAGGCACGAAGGCCAGGGGGGCAAACGGG
RNAcentral lists this ribosomal RNA (253 nucleotides) under uncultured bacterium. Its description in RNAcentral is "partial 16S ribosomal RNA". It matches the Rfam family "Bacterial small subunit ribosomal RNA", at positions 524 to 776 of the family's 1533-position model. The record is from RNAcentral.